ACGCUCGACACCUACGGGGGCAGCAGUCGGGAAUAUUGCGCAAUGGAGGAAACUCUGACGCAGUGACGCCGCGUAUAGGAAGAAGGUUUUCGGAUUGUAAACUAUUGUCGUUAGGGAAGAUACAAGACAGUACCUAAGGAGGAAGCACCGGCUAACUAUGUGCCAGCAGCCGCGGUAAUCUGAGCGGGCUGGCAAGGC
This 198-nucleotide ribosomal RNA is filed under the name uncultured bacterium. RNAcentral describes it as "partial 16S ribosomal RNA". It matches the Rfam family "Bacterial small subunit ribosomal RNA", at positions 328 to 539 of the family's 1533-position model. The record is from RNAcentral.